GUAACGCGUCACCAACCUACCCACCACUGGGGGAUAGCCCGCCGAAAGGCGGAUUAAUACCGCAUAAGACCACAGCUCGGCAUCGGGUAGUGGUUAAAGAUUAAUUGGUGGUGGAUGGGGUUGCGUAGCAUUAGCUAGAUGGCGGGGUAAGGGCCCACCAUGGCGACGAUGCUUAGGGGACCUGAGAGGGUGAUCCCCCACACUGGCACUGAGAUACGGGCCAGACUCCUACGGGAGGCAGCAGUAGGGAAUAUUGGGCAAUGGGCGAGAGCCUGACCCAGCCAUGCCGCGUGCCGGAUGAAGGCCUUCUGGGUUGUAAACGGCUUUUCUCAGGGAAGAAAAAGACCCUGCGGGGUACACUGACGGUACCUGAGGAAGAAGCACCGGCUAACUCCGUGCCAGCAGCCGCGGUAAU
Molecule: ribosomal RNA, 415 nt
Filed under: bacterium AER05A
Lineage: Bacteria
Description: bacterial SSU rRNA
Rfam family: Bacterial small subunit ribosomal RNA
Source: RNAcentral